This is a long non-coding RNA of Amphiprion ocellaris (clown anemonefish), 2859 nucleotides long. RefSeq lists it as uncharacterized. NCBI's taxonomy places the organism in Eukaryota, Metazoa, Chordata, Actinopteri, Pomacentridae. The record is from RefSeq and is a predicted model, not a curated record. The transcript is spliced from 5 exons.
CCAGGAGAAGAGGCUCAUGGGUAACGUGGUCCUCUGUUUCCAGUCUUUAUGCUAAGCUAGGCUAACAGUUCUAACCUCUUUCCAGUCUUUAUGCUAAGCUAGGAUAGCUGUUUUCCUCUGUUUCCAGUCUUUAUGCUAAGCUAGGCUAACAGUUCUAACCUGUUUUGUCUUUCUGCUAACCUAGGCUAACAGUUCAAACCUGUUGUGUCUUUCUGCUAACCUAGGCUAACAGUUCCCACCUGUUGCCAGCCUUUGUGCGAAGGUAAGCUAACAGUUCCCACCUAUUUCCAGUCUUUGCUAAACUAGGCUAACAGUUCUAACCUGUUUCCAGCCUUUGUGCAAAGCUAAGCUAACAGUUCCCACCUGUUUCCAGUCUUUGCUAAACUAGGCUAACAGUUCUAACCUGUUUCCAGUCUUUGUGCUAAGCUAAGCUACCUUGGAGACUAUUUGUCUGUGAGUAAAACGUGUACAUAAGCACAAAUAGAAAUUUCAUGUUAGAAGUUUGUCAUAAUUUGUCAAGUAGUUGAAAUAUGUCAUACAGUGUUGUUAGAAAGCCCUCAUAUUUUGAUCAUGAUGUUGUAUGGGUUGCGUUAUAGUUGUAUUUCCUCCCUUGUUGAGCUAAUCGGAUGUUUGUGUUUUUUUACGUAAUGUCCUUGAACGCACCUCGUGUGUGACGUAGCUUUUCUCCAUGUUGCAGCACAGUUGUUAGCUAGUUCUCUCCUGUGCACAUGUCUGAACUGGAUGCAUGUUGCAUUUUUUUCUUCCUUAACCUGCUGUGUGUAAAUGAUGAAGGUGAGUGGUCAUGUGUUCCACCAGUAGAGCAUGAUUAUGCACUGUUUAGUGUUACUUGUUGAUCGUUUAGCGACACUUUACAGGACGGACGUUAGCUUAGCAAUUAGCCCACCAUGUUGUCUGUCCGAGCGGGUUUGGCUACAUUGCUACCGUCAUGUGAUUGAAAUGCUGAGCCAUGCAUAAUAUUUUGCCCUUCGUUAUUGUGUUUAUGUGCAUUUGUGUUACUGUUUCAUAGUAUAAUUAUUAUUGUGGUUACAUUUAUGCUGAAUGUCUUACUGAUUCAGUAUUCCUGUUUGUGAUGUUUCAGAACCACAGCUAGCCACAGUUAUCCACAAGUAGCCACAGUUGUCUACCAGUGCAGCACAGAGUUAUCUGCAACAACAAUAAACAUCAUUAACCUGGAAAGUCUGGCUGCCGUGUUCACUCAACUCAACUCAACUCAACUCAACUCAGACCGACAAAUUCUUCAAUGGAAACUCUAUGUUGCCUGCUAAUCUUGAUUUGGAAGUAGAGGCUCGAGGAAAUGGACAAGGAAUACUAGAGUACAGGGAAAGACGACCACGGGUUGUGACCUAUUACAAUCAGCUGCAUGAGGUGGAAGAGAAAAUGCCCCGCAAGCACUUUGAUCUCGACGUCACUUUUGAAGGAUCCAGCGGUAGAUCAAAUUCUCACACUAUAUCACAUAUUUUACACGACGUCCUUCAGACGGGUGACAAAUUAAAGCAAAUGCACUUUAACAAAAAAAAAAAAAAAACAAAGCAUUUUGACUGCUGACCUGAGUAAAUUUAGUAAAUUGAAUUUAUAAAACACUCGCGUACAAUCUCUUAAAAUACAUACGUUUUGCAUACAUCACAAUGCAAGGACUGUGUGUGCUCAUCUUCAGGGACUUUUUGUUCGUAUUAUUUUUGUUAAGAUCAAAUGAAUACAUGAUUGUUAAGAUCAAAAUAACACGUUGGAGCAUAAUUACAUCAAAUACACUAUUACAUACGCUCUAGCCCACCAUAUAAUAUAUACAGCUGUACAUUAAUUAAUGCUUUGCUGCUGUCCCGGACCAGAAAAGCCUCCAGCAGAUGUAGAAAAGUCAGACAAGAUCAAGUAGUUGUUGUUGUUGUUGUUAUACGUGUACACGACUGUGCAAAAUGUUAGAUCGGCAGCAAUAUCGACUACCUUAUUACAAAUUGCAGGGCACAGUUUCACAGCUUUGGGUAGUUCAAAAUAUCUUGUGCCAGUUCCUCUGUGGACUGACACUCUGUACAUUAUCUGAUAGGUACUUUAUUCAUUCCCUUAGGGAGAUUCAAGGUAUGCAUGAGCUCACGUGUUACAUAGAAGAUAGAGGGCCACUGUGCGAAUGAGCAUGCAACAGACAUCCCAAAUCUGCCUAAAAUGCUGGUAUUUACAGAGCAGGGCUCUAGGACCCGGAGACGUCAGGAUGGUGGUUCUUGAUAUCAGUCUACCAACUGGAUUCACCCCAGAAAACUCUGACCUGGAGAUGGUAAUCACCUUCUAGUGCUAGUGCAGAAAAAUCUGAAAGCUUGUGUCAAUGGUGUAUUUAAGUGUCUUUAAAAUGAAUGUAGUAUUUUAAAUAAAAGUUUGUAAAAAGUUUACUACAUCAUGAUAAUGACCUUCUAAUGGAUGAGACAUGAAUGAUCGCAUGUUUAGGGCGGCGGCGUUGCUAACUAGCUAACAGCUGACUCUGUUUAUGUGUGUGUCCAGCUGUCCAAUUCAGUGCAUCGUUACAUCAGUAACUUCCAGAUUGUAGACAACCUGAGUGACAGAGGCUCCCUGAUCAUUCACCUGUUCAAAUGUCCCUGAUCCCAGAGCUGGAUGCUUCAGAUCUGUGGUGGUUCUCCCACCAACUGGCCUAAUCUCCAUCUGUGGGAUGCUGCUGCUGCUGACCUUCCUCCAGCCCACUGCUUCCAGCUGCCCAUUUCCAUCAAUCUACUCUGCAUCACCCUCACUAUACUUGAUUUGCUCGUCUACAUAUUUUUGAAUUUACCACCAGCUAUAUAUGUAGUAUAUUUAAUGCCAGAGCCAUACACCGUAGCAGUAAACUAUAAUCAGUUUCCA